GCUUCUCCUAGAAGCAUUGCAGGUGUGGCCACUGUGUCACAUGUGUAUCAAUCAGUAGGUGACAGAGAGGAGGAGAGAGGUUAUGUUUAUGCCCAGUGUUCUGACCUGUGAACAUCUGAUUGAUUAGUAGCCUAAGAUC
This 139-nucleotide small nucleolar RNA is filed under the name Mus pahari (shrew mouse). RNAcentral describes it as "predicted gene, 22493 (MGP_PahariEiJ_G0034383.1)". It matches the Rfam family "Small nucleolar RNA SNORA17". From Rfam's summary of the family: snoRNA ACA 17 belongs to the H/ACA family of snoRNAs and is predicted to guide pseudouridylation of the 28S rRNA at positions U4659 and U4598. It shares the same host gene together with ACA43. Lineage: Eukaryota; Metazoa; Chordata; Mammalia; Rodentia; Muridae. The record is from RNAcentral.